Molecule: ribosomal RNA, 513 nt
Filed under: Chrysopodes copius
Lineage: Eukaryota; Metazoa; Arthropoda; Insecta; Neuroptera; Chrysopidae
Description: partial 16S ribosomal RNA
Rfam family: Bacterial large subunit ribosomal RNA
Source: RNAcentral
GUCUUUUUGUUUAAAAUAUAAAGUCUAAUCUGCCCACUGAUUUAUAUUAAAGGGCCGCAGUAUUUUGACUGUGCAAAGGUAGCAUAAUCACUUGUCUCUUAAUUGGAGGCUGGAAUGAAUGAUUGAAUGAAAUAUUAACUGUCUCAUAUUUAAAAAAAAUAAAAAUUUAGCUUUUAAGUUAAAAGGCUUAAAUAUUUUUAGAGGACGAGAAGACCCUAUAGAUCUUUAUAUUAUAUUAAUUUUUGUAAAAUAGAAAAAUAUUUAAUGUAAUUUAAUAUAAUAUUUUAUUGGGGUGAUAGGAAAAUUAAUUAAACUUUUUUUAAUUUAAAACAUUGAUUAAUGAAUAAUUGAUCCAUUUAUAGUGAUUAUAAGAUUAAGUUACCUUAGGGAUAACAGCGUAAUUUUUUUGGAGAGUUCAUAUCGAUAAAAAAGAUUGCGACCUCGAUGUUGAAUUAAAGGUUAUUUCUAGAUGUAGAAGUUUAGAGUUUAGGUCUGUUCGACCUUUGAAUCUUU